UCAGGACGAACGCUGGCGGCGUGCUUAACACAUGCAAGUCGAACGAUGACGAUGGUGCUUGCACCGUCUGAUUAGUGGCGAACGGGUGAGUAACACGUGAGUAACCUGCCCUCCUCUUCGGGAUAACCGCCGGAAACGGUGGCUAAUACCGGAUAUGAAUGCCUGCCGCAUGGUGGGUGUUGGAAAGAUUUAUCGGUGGGGGAUGGACUCGCGGCCUAUCAGUUUGUUGGUGAGGUAAUGGCUCACCAAGGCGAUGACGGGUAGCCGGCCUGAGAGGGCGACCGGCCACACUGGGACUGAGACACGGCCCAGACUCCUACGGGAGGCAGCAGUGGGGAAUAUUGCACAAUGGGCGAAAGCCUGAUGCCAGCGACGCCGCGUGGGGGAUGACGGCCUUCGGGUUGUAAACCUCUUUCAGCAGGGAAGAAGCGAGAGUGACGGUACCUGCAGAAGAAGCGCCGGCUAACUACGUGCCAGCAGCCGC
RNAcentral lists this ribosomal RNA (484 nucleotides) under uncultured bacterium. RNAcentral describes it as "bacterial SSU rRNA". It matches the Rfam family "Bacterial small subunit ribosomal RNA", at positions 24 to 518 of the family's 1533-position model. The record is from RNAcentral.